AAUAAAUAAAUAAAUAAAUAAAUAAGAAGAAGAGAGAGAUGGAAAGAAAAGAAACUCAGUUAAUAUAAUCUUUUUCUUUCUUCCAUGUCAUUUAUUUGUGCAUCAUUGUUAUGUACACAAUGAUAUACAAAUGGCAUUACUUGAAAAGAAUAUACCACGUUUAAAUUUCAAUCGGUGUUUUAUAAGAAAAUGAAGAGUUAUAUAUGAAAUAUAUUGGACCUUUCUGAAGAAAAGAUUUCGAUUGCAAGUAACACUUACUGCCAAGUUGUCUGCUGUUGGCCAUUGAUAGAGUGAGAACAAGACUAAGCACCAGAACCAAAUUGAGUACUAUUUUGUGAGCCUGAGCCAUGAUAUAAUGUAAUUCUCUUUGUUGCCUUAUACCUGUAUAAUAAUUGUGGCUUUUUGAGAUGGUUAUUUAUAGACAGAAGCUUUUGAAAGAACACCCCUUUAGGCACAUAGAUAUGGUAGCAAAGUCGAGUGCAGGCCGGUUAAUCAAAUUUUCUAAUAUACUACAACUUUGUACUUUUCAGUGUUGUAGUUAUAAGUUGAUGUUUUAA
RNAcentral lists this long non-coding RNA (557 nucleotides) under Olea europaea (common olive). RNAcentral's name for it is "long non-coding RNA (OEUR_LNC013247)". Lineage: Eukaryota; Viridiplantae; Streptophyta; Magnoliopsida; Lamiales; Oleaceae. The record is from RNAcentral.